GACGAACGCUGGCGGCGUGCUUAACACAUGCAAGUCGAACGGAAAGGCCCUGCUUGCAGGGUGCUCGAGUGGCGAACGGGUGAGUAAUACGUGGGUGAUCUGCCCCUUACUUUGGGAUAAGCCUGGGAAACUGGGUCUAAUACUGGAUAGGACCAUGCUGUAGGUGGUGUGGUGGAAAGAUUAGUUUCGGUAAGGGAUGAGCUCGCGGCCUAUCAGCUUGUUGGUGGGGUAAUGGCCUACCAAGGCGUCGACGGGUAGCCGGCCUGAGAGGGUGGACGGCCACAUUGGGACUGAGAUACGGCCCAGACUCCUACGGGAGGCAGCAGUGGGGAAUAUUGCACAAUGGGCGCAAGCCUGAUGCAGCGACGCCGCGUGGGGGAUGACGGCCUUCGGGUUGUAAACUCCUUUCAGCCAUGACGAAGCCCUUGUGGUGACGGUAGUGGUAGAAGAAGCACCGGCUAACUACGUG
Molecule: ribosomal RNA, 469 nt
Filed under: uncultured bacterium
Lineage: Bacteria
Description: partial 16S ribosomal RNA
Rfam family: Bacterial small subunit ribosomal RNA
Source: RNAcentral